CCUACGGGCGGCAGCAGUGAGGAAUAUUGGUCAAUGGUCGGGAGACUGAACCAGCCAAGCCGCGUGAGGGAGGAAGGUACAGAGUAUCGUAAACCUCUUUUGUCAGGGAACAAAGGCGGGGACGUGUCCCCGGAUGAGUGUACCUGAAGAAAAAGCAUCGGCUAACUCCGUUACAGCCGUCGCGGUAAUACGGAGGAUGCGAGUGUUAGCCGGAUUUAUUGGGUUUAAGGGGUGAGCAGGCGGUCUGUUAAGUCAGCGGUCAAAGCCCGGGGCUCAACCCCGGCCCGCCGUUGAAACUGGAAGUCUCGAGGUGGAGAGAAGUAUGCGGAAUGCGCGGUGUAGCGGUGAAAUGCAUAGAUAUCGCGCAGAACUCCGAUUGCGAAGGCAGCAUGCCGGCUCCACACUGACGCUGAGGCACGAAAGCGUGGGUAUCGAACAGGAUGAGAUACCCGAGUAGUC
RNAcentral lists this ribosomal RNA (459 nucleotides) under uncultured bacterium. RNAcentral's name for it is "partial 16S ribosomal RNA". It matches the Rfam family "Bacterial small subunit ribosomal RNA", at positions 338 to 795 of the family's 1533-position model. The record is from RNAcentral.